Molecule: ribosomal RNA, 319 nt
Filed under: uncultured eukaryote
Lineage: Eukaryota
Description: partial 18S ribosomal RNA
Rfam family: Eukaryotic small subunit ribosomal RNA
Source: RNAcentral
CCCUUAGAUGUUCUGGGCAGCACGCGCGCUACAAUGGUCUUCGCAAACGGAUGCAUUCUCGAAGGAGAAUGCCAAUCUUGGAAUCUAUGCCUUGGUCGGGACAGUUGCUUGCAAUUUUUCGACUCGAACCAGGAAUUCCUUGUAAUCGUGAUUCAUCACAUCACGAUGAAUACGUCCCUGCCCUUUGUACACACCGCCCGUCGCUCCUACCGAUCGAAGAGUUAGGUGAAUUGUUUUGAUCGAUAAGAUUUGACUAUGGUCAACUCUCGUUGUGAAAUUCUGAGAAUCUGACUGUUUAGAGGAAGGAAAAGUCGUAACA